Long non-coding RNA from Bombus pascuorum, 990 nucleotides. RefSeq lists it as uncharacterized. Lineage: Eukaryota; Metazoa; Arthropoda; Insecta; Hymenoptera; Apidae. The transcript is spliced from 2 exons. The record is from RefSeq and is a predicted model, not a curated record.
AUAAUAUUCGUCGACGGACUAGGGACUGUAUAGAUACGACGAAGAUAAGCUUCAUAUUGUUUCUGAAAAAUAACGAGUUAUUCUACAAUGCAAUUGUAAAAGACAAAGAAACUCACUCUAAGAACAUUAAGUCUAUCUGUUUUUGCAGUCAUCAAUGCAAGGCUAUUAUCUACUCUAUCCAAUGCUUCAAGAAGUUUAUGAUUUCUUUCAUCUCUUGUACGUUGUUCUUCUAAAAACUCUAUAUAUCUUAAACGCAAUCGAUUUAUACACGCAUCAUGCCUGAAAUAUCAAUGAUUUCAUAAUUUUUCCAAAAUAAAAUCCCCAUUUCUUUAAAAAAAAGAAAUCCAUUUUAAAUAAUAUUACCAGAGUAAAAAAUGAAUAAUCGUGAGCAAAAGGAUCUUUCAUUUUUGUUAAUUAUAUCUUAUAUAGCAUAGUUUGUUGAAUGUGUCCGCAUAAUCGAAGGACAUUGCGUGACAUUUGCAAAAGAUCAUGUCUUUCCUAUAGAUACAUAUCUAUAUAUGUAUAAUUGUGUACUAGUAUGUAUAUCAAAAUAAGAAGACUCCAGUUACAAAUCCUGUACUACUAUAUCCGAUCUAUGUUUACAUACAUAGGUUAAGUUAAGGCACAAGUGUUAAAGUAGAAAACGUAAACACAAAGAAUAAGGAAUUUAUAUUCCAAAUCAAUUGAAAGACAAGGUUAGUAUUGAUUGUGACAUUUCUCAAAACUAGGUCGCUUCUAAAUCAAUACAUAAUCUCCGAAAUUCUAUCGUGUUAUUAUUACGUAAAACGGAAAUAAAAUCAAUAACAACAGCUACUUGCCAAUGUAUGUGUAUGUCUAAACAUAUUCUUAAUCACUUUUCAAUAGCAUAUAUAGUGAACACAAUAAAUCAAUUUACUGCUUUAAGAAUUUAAGAAAAUCUGUAUAAAAUAUAUGUAUAUAAAAAUAAGAAAUUGAAGAAUAAUACUUUUAAAUAAAUAACUUUCUUUUAAA